Pyrus x bretschneideri (Chinese white pear) is the source of this 821-nucleotide long non-coding RNA. RefSeq lists it as uncharacterized. The transcript has 2 exons. The record is from RefSeq and is a predicted model, not a curated record. NCBI's taxonomy places the organism in Eukaryota, Viridiplantae, Streptophyta, Magnoliopsida, Rosales, Rosaceae.
GUUUGUAUUGAAUCUAAUCAUCUAUUUUUAAACAGUUCAAUGACUAUAUAAUCUCAUAUUUUAUUAAUUUUACAAAAUGAAUCUUUACUAAGUGAUUUAUAACAUUAACAAUUUUGAGAACAAGUAUAAAAUUCUGUAAAUCGAUGACAAAGUAUUUUGAUGAUGAACUUCUCCUUGUCCUGUGAGGAUCCAAGUUAAUUCCAAAGACAAAUGCCUAAUUAUAUGGAAAAGGCAAAUGUGCACGUACCGGUUCCUGUGGCUUGGGAUGCUUCAGCUGGCUUCAACUUUUCUGCCAAAAUAUCCCAGGCAAUUUUGGCUCUGCGGGUGCCCCUAAUAAAAGAAAAAGUAUCGGCCCCACAAGAAACCUGGAUCGAGUGCAAAGCCUCGGCAUUACUCUUCCUCCAAGCUUGAAAUUCAACUUCACCAUCUUCUCGUUUAGGAGGCUCAGUGGUGGCUUCCACAACUUCCCAAAGACCCUUUGCCAACAGGCCAGAUGGUGAAGAGAUUGAGGAACUGAGCGAAAGUGUAGGCGAGGAACGCAUUGAGGAAUGCGAGGUUCGAUGGGAUCAACGGCAAAGACGACGUCGUCGCAUCCGCAGCCGUCAUCACCUCGUCCACUCUCUCUCACGAGCAAGACUGUGGAAACUAGAAAAGAGGGAAAGAGGAGGAGCAAGAGUCAACUAGGCCCCACAGCCGAGUUCAAUCAGCAGAAAGUGGCUGCUGGAUUUUUUUUUCUCUCUUUUUAUAACUUUUUAUUAUUAUUAUGAAUGCGGUGGAUUUGGUAAGAAGCAAGAAAUAUAGAAUUUUGGAAUUUUGAUUCA